AGAUCCAACAGGCUGGUCUCCUCUGAGCUACGUCAUGCUGACUCUGCGUAUCGCAGGACUGAUCCUGAUGAUCAUAAUCACCGUUCUUGUCAUCAGAAUUACAUGGAACACAAAAGCGCUGCAUGUCGACAGCAAUGUGAAUAAUGAUGGCGAUGUCCAGUAUGAAAAUGUAGAAGGACGUCCUGCUGAUGCGAGACUGCACUGAUCAACAACUUUCACACCAACUUCAGAUCAUCAGAGAGUCAAAUAUCAUCAGUCAUUUUUACACUUGUGACAGAAGCUUUCAGUUAAAAUCAUUGUUGCUUAUUUAGGAUACAUUUGCUUUUUUUAUUCUCUGAUCUUCAUAUUCAUCAGAUGACAUGUUCACAAGUUACCUGUAGUCCAUUGAGAAAGAAACUAUGACCCAAUUUUGGACCACAACCCAUCAGUUGGGAGCCACUACUUCGAAUGAUUGUACUGUUGUUCUCCAUUUGAUUCCUGUUGAACUGAACACUUUAUUUCAUUAUUAUUAUUUGAACUCAUAUCUGUUUUUUUUAAAAGUUUGAUGUCAGUUCUUUUAACCAUCAGUAUUUUUGUUUAGCCUGAGUGUGUCUGACUUAUUAUGCAGUUGAAGGUAUACAGCA
This is a non-coding RNA of Plectropomus leopardus (leopard coralgrouper), 623 nucleotides long. NCBI's taxonomy places the organism in Eukaryota, Metazoa, Chordata, Actinopteri, Perciformes, Serranidae. The record is from RefSeq and is a predicted model, not a curated record.